Malus domestica (apple) is the source of this 1607-nucleotide non-coding RNA. NCBI's taxonomy places the organism in Eukaryota, Viridiplantae, Streptophyta, Magnoliopsida, Rosales, Rosaceae. The record is from RefSeq and is a predicted model, not a curated record.
CAUAUGGAAUAUCCACUCGUGACUUUCAAGUCUACUACUAAGGUGACCCCUAGGGUAAAUCUCUAGGUAAGGCUCAUUGUAAUAUUUAGGGUAAGGGUAUGUAAAUCAACUUUCCCUUGAUUUAAGAGAGGAGACUGAUUGGGGUAAUGUCUUUGUGUAAGGUUUAGAUUAGGUAGGCAACAUGCCUUCUUCUUUCUUGUCAGCUGCUUGCUGUAGCCAUCCUUCCCAUCUAUUUUCCCUCUCUCCUCUCAUAUAUACCUAAUCUCACUCUUGUACAAUACAUACAUGAAAUAUACAUUGAAACUUUAAACCAGAAAAUCUACAUUUUUCAUGACAACACUUUAUAAAUAUUUGUUUUUCGUUUCCAGAAACAGAGUUUGAUUUUUUUGCAAAAAAGACACGUGGAAAGUUAUCUGGGAAACGCCUCCAUGAUAUUUUAAAGGCCAAUAACGAGAAGAAUAUGCUAGUCAUCUUUGAUUUGAAGCAGCAGGUACCAAUUUAUGCAGGUGUGUCAGGUUUUUUCACUUUUGAAAUAGGGAUUCUUGUUCGAAGUGAUGCACUGGUGUGUUACAAGAGAUGGAUGAAGGUUCCAGCUAUGGCUAAGGAAAAAUUGCGGGAGUCAUUGCUAAUACUGUUUGAGGUAGACUUGUGCAAUUCGAAUAUUCUUGCUUAUAUGAAUAAGAAGAUGGGGAAGUUGUACUCCUAGUUUAGGUUUCGGUGGCAUGAGCACUACUUAUCAUGUGAAACACCUACGAGAGGACGAGCUAAGCUGCCUGAGAAGUCACUAUGGAAUGAGAGAUUAGUGAGUCAUUGGCACUAGCUAUGUGAUAAUAUUUACACUAGUGAAGUCGUUUUGGUAUGUUUCUGUAGAACAUUUUCUUAUUUAUGCUAUCUUGCUGUAGCACUUUGCCAUGUUUCUUAUUUAUGCUUUUUGGUAUGUUUCUGUAGAACAUUUUCUUUAUUUUUUGUUAAUUUUUUUUCCUACAAAUCAUAGUCUACAAUAUGAUUUCUUACUAUAUUAAAAAAGAUCAACACAUGAGCUUCUUAGAAAUGUAAAGAAAAUAAUAAAAACAAAAUAAAUCCACUACCUCAAAUUCACACUGUGGUAAUUAAAUUCUUUUAACGUACUUAGAAAAUGAUCCAUGAAUAUUAUGAGCCUUUUCAGUAAUUUCAAUGACUUCUCAACUCCAUGUCAGUUUGAGAUCAAAUUUUUACACAUUGCAAAUCAUGCCAUAUAUUCGUGAACAUGACCAAAAGAGUGACGUGAUGAUAAAUACUUUAGAACCACUCAUGGAUUCAAGGUGUUUCAUUUUCUUCUUAUUUAUAAUGUUGCUACAAGUAGUCCUCAUAAUGGCAUUCUAAUGUAGGAUGUUUCCAAGAAAAAUGCUGAUAAUCAAAAGAAACAAAAGUAUCAUCACAAGGGAAGGGCAGGGCCAUCAUCCAACAUGCUAGGAAUGCUCACAAGAAAGGAGAACCAUUUUCUGUGAUUGACAAUUAGGGGGCUCUCCACAAAGACAAGAAUGGCCAAUGGAUAAAUGAUAUUGCUCAAGAGAAAUAUGCAAGUCACUUUUGACACACCCCGACCUGGAAGACGUACUAGGACUCCG